RNAcentral lists this long non-coding RNA (239 nucleotides) under Elaeis guineensis (African oil palm). Its description in RNAcentral is "long non-coding RNA (EGUI_LNC055247)". Lineage: Eukaryota; Viridiplantae; Streptophyta; Magnoliopsida; Arecales; Arecaceae. The record is from RNAcentral.
GACUUCUUUGAGUAAAUCCAAAUUUGCUUGGAGCCAUUGUGGGUUAUUUUGUUCAUCAUAGUUCUUGUCUCACAAUGAAGGAAGUCUGAUUUUCACUGGGAAGAUCACCUCCGUCCUGAAGGAGAGGUUGAAGGGGGUCUCGUUGGUGGGUAUUCUUUGCAUGGCUCAGUAAACUCAGAGCCAUGAUGACGCUCAUCACCCAUGAUCCCUUGACAUGAUCUAACCUACAUUUCAAGCCC